Molecule: ribosomal RNA, 509 nt
Filed under: uncultured bacterium
Lineage: Bacteria
Description: bacterial SSU rRNA
Rfam family: Bacterial small subunit ribosomal RNA
Source: RNAcentral
AGGGUUUGAUCAUGGCUCAGGACGAACGCUGGCGGUGCGCCUUAUGCAUGCAAGUCGAGCGAAGCUUUUCAGUAGUUUACUACAGAAAAUGACUGAGCGGCGAACGGGUGAGUAACGCGUGAGCAACCUACCUUAGUUACUGGGAUAGCCCGAGGAAACUCGGAUUAAUACCGGAUAUUCUUAAUUUAUCACAUGAUUUUUUAAGGAAAGGUCAGCCGAACUAAGAUGGGCUCGCGUUCUAUCAGCUAGUUGGUAGGGUAAUGGCCUACCAAGGCUACGACGGAUAGCUGGUCUGAGAGGACGAUCAGCCACACUGGGACUGAGACACGGCCCAGACUCCUACGGGAGGCUGCAGCAGGGAAUAUUGCGCAAUGAGCGAAAGCUUGACGCAGCGAUACCGCGUGUGGGAUGACGGAUCUAGGUUUGUAAACCACUUUCAGGAGGGAAGAAAAUGACGGUACCUCCACAAGAAGCCCCGGCCAACUACGUGCCAGCAGCCGCGGUAAUAC